UUUUUUUUUCCUAUUCAUAAAACUACAAUAUUUUUUUACGUGAAAUACAUAUCCAAACAUAACUUAAAAUUUCAAAUAUCAUUUUUAACUUAAUUUCAAAUACAACUUCUUUUUCAAAAAAUAUAUAGUACUAUACACAAAAAGCCCAGAAGGGGCGUUUAGUUGACUAGGGCACACCACUUAUAUAAAUGCAUAAACAAAAACAAACAUUACCUUCGACUUUUCUCUCUCUACGCCAGCCAGGUGUUUAGCGUUUCGAGGAGGAGGAGAAGAAAUUAAAGCACUUCUCCUUUGAAUCAAAUCGAGAGAUUGCUAACCCCCUUUUUUGCUCGUAGAUCCAUCGAUCAAUCCGUCCUCAAUCAUCGGACUUUGAUUUAGGCUCUUCGGGUCGGAGGAAUCGAAUCGGAUCAGAAGGAUGUUCUUGGUAGAUUGGUUCUACGGAAUUC
RNAcentral lists this long non-coding RNA (446 nucleotides) under Nicotiana tabacum (common tobacco). RNAcentral's name for it is "long non-coding RNA (NTAB_LNC018746)". The record is from RNAcentral. Lineage: Eukaryota; Viridiplantae; Streptophyta; Magnoliopsida; Solanales; Solanaceae.